UCGAUUGGUGGCGCAUCCUGGGAGUGUCGAGCCCCUUGUCACGCGCACUCCUAAGGAAAAUUGGAUGAUACACCCUGCCUGGAUUCAGCGGUAUUUAUUCAAUCAUCCCUUGCGUGUCCAUUUUAUUUAUUCAUCCCUUGCAUGUACAUUUCAUUCAAUAAUCCCUUGCAUUUACAUUUUAUUUAUUCAUCCCUUGCAUGUCCAUUUUAUUUAUGCAGUUUGAAGUGGGCUGGCCUUUUACCUUUCGCACGACUUGUUGAGGCAACUCGUGCGGAAAUGGUAGAGGGCGAGCGACGAGGCUUCAACUCUACACGGGUACAAAUUGAC
This 327-nucleotide long non-coding RNA is filed under the name Brachypodium distachyon (stiff brome). RNAcentral describes it as "long non-coding RNA (BDIS_LNC004875)". Lineage: Eukaryota; Viridiplantae; Streptophyta; Magnoliopsida; Poales; Poaceae. The record is from RNAcentral.